RNAcentral lists this long non-coding RNA (1684 nucleotides) under Citrus x clementina. Its description in RNAcentral is "Citrus clementina (C. clementina) long non-coding RNA (CCLE_LNC003648)". Lineage: Eukaryota; Viridiplantae; Streptophyta; Magnoliopsida; Sapindales; Rutaceae. The record is from RNAcentral.
UUUUUUUUAUAAUUAAUGUAUUACAAUUAGAACUAUACUGAUAUUAGCAAUUACAAAUCGAUUGGAAUUUUUCUUGAUAAUUCUACUAUAGCAAUUUCUACCAUCACAUAAUAUUGGAGAGAUAUUUAUUCUAUCCUAAAUUAAGAUAAGAUAAUUAUAUUCCUACUUAAUUUUAUUGAGAGGAAAAUUGAGUUUUAACCAUUUUUGGGACUCGAACCCAUAUCCUCAAUUGCAAAUAGGCUGAUAUUAAUAAUUUGAAAAGGAAUUAAUUUUGUCACAUUUUUAUUUUUAUUUUUUUCCUAUCAUCACCUUUUUUACUUUUACUCGACUUUUCUAAUAGCCACCUGAUCAAGUUACUUGUCUAUUUGAUAAACGUGAUUUCAUUUGGGAUAAUAUUUAGCAUGUUAACAUUAUUUCUCUAUCGAUAAAUUUCAUAGAAUUCCAUACCAAUACCAUUACUUUCUAAUAAUAAUAUGGGUUUGCCUAAGUUAUAUUUAGUAUAACUUACAUUCCAUUAAAAAUCUGUAAAAAUAAAUAAUUAAUAUGUGAGGUCACGAUCUUGUUUUAGCUUAUUUUUAGUGGGUUGUAAGUUACACUAAAUGAAACUUAGGGAGAGCUUAACAAUAUUAGUUUGUUUCCAAGAUGUAUGGAUGUCAAGAUAUUUUCUUGAGUGCAAAUAUUUGUAUUUUUUAAAAGAUUGAACCUAUUUAUACUUUACGACAUACUUUGAAUAUUCUUUUACUUGCAUACACAUUUGGUACAUUUUUUAAAUUAAUUUAUUCCAUACACCUUUAAAGUUACCAAAACACCUCUCAGUUUGUUCUCUCCAAAACCAGAAAAAUAAAUUUCAUACCAAGAACUUAAUCAACAGUGCGAUUCCUCGCAACUCUACCACUAGAGAAUGCAUCUCCUUUUAGUUAUUGCUCCAACGGAUGGGAGGAUGCUAAGAGGGUGAAGCGACACAAAAUUCUUAAAUAGUUAAAUGUAAUAUAUAUAUUUAUGCUUGAACAUACUGCGAAAAGGGGAGCUACUAAAAUUGGCUGCUAUGCCAACUUGUGAUAGAACUGGAAUCUUGAGAUAUUUCUUAUCAUUGCAGAUAAAUGUCGUUGAUUCAACAUAUUUUAUCGGUUGCAAAAUUAUUAAAAAUUUGGUGGCUUUAGAGACGUAAGCAGCAAGGAAGCCAAUUUUCAAGAUGACCAAUAUGGAUGAUGUAGAUGCCUAGAUGGUAUCAUGGCUUUGGCACCUGUCGUGUUUGAAAAAAUGAUGGGGUUUCUAUAUAUAGUAUAAAAAGUUUAAAUUAGGCAAUUAGCCCUUCACACUUAAUUUAUAAUUUUUUAUUUUGAAUAAAAAUGUUAUUUUAUAGUUCUCGCUAACAUUAAUGUCAAAGGAUAAUCAUGAAUGAAUGAAAUAAUAAUAAUAAUAAUAAUUGACCAUGCACAAUUAAUCCAUAACUUAAAUAUUUGAAGUUUGAACUUGGCUGUUAUAGAAUUUUACUCUGAGCUCCUUACUGGAAGAAACUGAUCAAAUAAAAUUAGAAAAAUUAAAAUUUAGCUUUCUGUUUAUAUUACUUUACGUUGAAUAUGUGUUUUUUUGUUAAGGGUUAAUUUUGGAUUAAUUCUCUUGAAAUGAUAAUUUUUAAAAUGCCGUUUAAGUAUUGGAAACCUUAAUUUACCUCUCAUUUAUA